This 460-nucleotide ribosomal RNA is filed under the name uncultured bacterium. Its description in RNAcentral is "partial 16S ribosomal RNA". It matches the Rfam family "Bacterial small subunit ribosomal RNA", at positions 338 to 795 of the family's 1533-position model. The record is from RNAcentral.
CCUACGGGUGGCAGCAGUGAGGAAUAUUGGUCAAUGGACGCAAGUCUGAACCAGCCAUUCCGCGUGCAGGAAGACGGCCCUAUGGGUUGUAAACUGCUUUUUUACGAGGGUAAACGCAUAUACUCGUAUCUGUCUGAAAGUAUCGUACGAAUAAGGUUCGGAUAACUCCGUGCCAUCAGCCCCGGUAAUACGGAGGAUCCAAGCGUUAUCCGGAUUUAUUGGGUUUAAAGGGUGCGUAGGCGGUCGGUUAAGUUAGAUGUGAAAGCCCGAGGCUCAACCUCGGAAUUGCCGCUGAUACUGGACGGCUAGAGAGUAGUUGCGGUAGGCGGAAUGCAUGGUGUAGCGGUGAAAUGCUUAGAGAUCAUACAGAACACCGAUUGCGAAGGCAGCUUACUGGGCUACUUCUGACGCUGAGGCACGAAAGCGUGGGGAGCAAACAGGAUUAGAUACCCUUGUAGUC